Molecule: ribosomal RNA, 591 nt
Filed under: uncultured bacterium
Lineage: Bacteria
Description: bacterial SSU rRNA
Rfam family: Bacterial small subunit ribosomal RNA
Source: RNAcentral
CCUUGGGUGACGAGUGGCGGACGGGUGAGUAAUGUCUGGGAAACUGCCCGAUGGAGGGGGAUAACUACUGGAAACGGUAGCUAAUACCGCAUAACGUCGCAAGACCAAAGAGGGGGACCUUCGGGCCUCUUGCCAUCGGAUGUGCCCAGAUGGGAUUAGCUAGUAGGUGGGGUAACGGCUCACCUAGGCGACGAUCCCUAGCUGGUCUGAGAGGAUGACCAGCCACACUGGAACUGAGACACGGUCCAGACUACUACGGGAGGCAGCAGUGGGGAAUAUUGCACAAUGGGCGCAAGCCUGAUGCAGCCAUGCCGCGUGUAUGAAGAAGGCCUUCGGGUUGUAAAGUACUUUCAGCGAGGAGGAAGGCGUUGUGGUUAAUAACCGCAGCGAUUGACGUUACUCGCAGAAGAAGCACCGGCUAACUCCGUGCCAGCAGCCGCGGUAAUACGGAGGGUGCAAGCGUUAAUCGGAAUUACUGGGCGUAAAGCGCACGCAGGCGGUCUGUCAAGUCGGAUGUGAAAUCCCCGGGCUCAACCUGGGAACUGCAUCCGAAACUGGCAGGCUAGAGUCUUGUAGAGGGGGGUAGAAUUC